GAUGAACGCUGGCGGCGUGCCUAAUACAUGCAAGUCGAGCGAACGGACGAGAAGCUUGCUUCUCUGAUGUUAGCGGCGGACGGGUGAGUAACACGUGGAUAACCUACCUAUAAGACUGGGAUAACUUCGGGAAACCGGAGCUAAUACCGGAUAAUAUUUUGAACCGCAUGGUUCAAAAGUGAAAGACGGUCUUGCUGUCACUUAUAGAUGGAUCCGCGCUGCAUUAGCUAGUUGGUAAGGUAACGGCUUACCAAGGCAACGAUGCAUAGCCGACCUGAGAGGGUGAUCGGCCACACUGGAACUGAGACACGGUCCAGACUCCUACGGGAGGCAGCAGUAGGGAAUCUUCCGCAAUGGGCGAAAGCCUGACGGAGCAACGCCGCGUGAGUGAUGAAGGUCUUCGGAUCGUAAAACUCUGUUAUUAGGGAAGAACAUAUGUGUAAGUAACUGUGCACAUCUUGACGGUACCUAAUCAGAAAGCCACGGCUAACUACGUGCCAGCAGCCGCGGUAAUACGUAGGUGGCAAGCGUUACCCGGAAUUAUUGGGCGUAAAGCGCGCGUAGGCGGUUUUUUAAGUCUGAUGUGAAAGCCCACGGCUCAACCGUGGAGGGUCAUUGGAAACUGGAAAACUUGAGUGCAGAAGAGGAAAGUGGAAUUCCAUGUGUAGCGGUGAAAUGCGCAGAGAUAUGGAGGAACACCAGUGGCGAAGGCGACUUUCUGGUCUGUAACUGACGCUGAUGUGCGAAAGCGUGGGGAUCAAACAGGAUUAGAUACCCUGGUAGUCCACGCCGUAGACGAUGAGUGCUAAGUGUUAGGGGGUUUCCGCCCCUUAGUGCUGCAGCUAACGCAUUAAGCACUCCGCCUGGGGAGUACGACCGCAAGGUUGAAACUCAAAGGAAUUGACGGGGACCCGCACAAGCGGUGGAGCAUGUGGUUUAAUUCGAAGCAACGCGAAGAACCUUACCAAAUCUUGACAUCCUUUGACAACUCUAGAGAUAGAGCCUUCCCCUUCGGGGGACAAAGUGACAGGUGGUGCAUGGUUGUCGUCAGCUCGUGUCGUGAGAUGUUGGGUUAAGUCCCGCAACGAGCGCAACCCUUAAGCUUAGUUGCCAUCAUUAAGUUGGGCACUCUAAGUUGACUGCCGGUGACAAACCGGAGGAAGGUGGGGAUGGCGUCAAAUCAUCAUGCCCCUUAUGAUUUGGGCUACACACGUGCUACAAUGGACAAUACAAAGGGCAGCGAAACCGCGAGGUCAAGCAAAUCCCAUAAAGUUGUUCUCAGUUCGGAUUGUAGUCUGCAACUCGACUACAUGAAGCUGGAAUCGCUAGUAAUCGUAGAUCAGCAUGCUACGGUGAAUACGUUCCCGGGUCU
Molecule: ribosomal RNA, 1372 nt
Filed under: uncultured bacterium
Lineage: Bacteria
Description: bacterial SSU rRNA
Rfam family: Bacterial small subunit ribosomal RNA
Source: RNAcentral